GACGAACGCUGGCGGCGUGCUUAACACAUGCAAGUCGAACGGAAAGGCCCUGCUUUUGUGGGGUGCUCGAGUGGCGAACAGGUGAGUAACACGUGAGUAACCUGCCCUUGACUUUGGGAUAACUUCAGGAAACUGGGGCUAAUACCGGAUAGAAGCUCCUGCUGCAUGGUGGGGGUUGGAAAGAUUGGGCGGUUGGGGAUUGACUCGCGGCUUAUCCGCUUGUUGGUGGGGUAGUGGUGUACCAAGGCUUUGACGGGUAGGCGGCAUGAGAGGGUGACCGGCCACCUUGCGACUGAGAUACGGCCCAGACUCCUACGGGACGCAGUAGGGGGGAAUAUUGCACAAUGGGCGGAAGCCUGAGGCAGCAACGCCGCGUGCGGGAUGCCGGCCUUCGGGUUGUAAACCGCUUUCGCCUGUGACGAAGCGUGAGUGACGGUAAUGGGUAAAGAAGCACCGGCUAACUACGUG
RNAcentral lists this ribosomal RNA (468 nucleotides) under uncultured bacterium. RNAcentral's name for it is "partial 16S ribosomal RNA". It matches the Rfam family "Bacterial small subunit ribosomal RNA", at positions 28 to 507 of the family's 1533-position model. The record is from RNAcentral.